GCCCAGGUGGUGGAAUUGGUAGACACACUACUUUGAGGUGGUAGCGCUGCGAGGCGUGGGAGUUCGAGUCUCCCCCUGGGCACCA
This 85-nucleotide transfer RNA is filed under the name Mailhella sp. RNAcentral describes it as "tRNA-Leu". It matches the Rfam family "tRNA". Rfam says of the family: Transfer RNA (tRNA) molecules are approximately 80 nucleotides in length. Their secondary structure includes four short double-helical elements and three loops (D, anti-codon, and T loops). Lineage: Bacteria; Pseudomonadati; Thermodesulfobacteriota; Desulfovibrionia; Desulfovibrionales; Desulfovibrionaceae. The record is from RNAcentral. RNAcentral also lists the same sequence under 1 other name.